CAGGCUGCAACUCGCCUGCACGAAGUCGGAAUUGCUAGUAAUCGUAGGUCAGCAUACUGCCGUGAAUACGUUCCCGGGCCUUGUACACACCGCCCGUCACACCAUGAGAGUUGGGAAUACCCGAAGCCUGUGAGCUAACUUUUAGAGGCAGCAGUCGAAGGUAGAAUCAAUGAUUGGGGUGAAGUCGUAACAAGGUAUC
RNAcentral lists this ribosomal RNA (199 nucleotides) under uncultured bacterium. RNAcentral's name for it is "partial 16S ribosomal RNA". It matches the Rfam family "Bacterial small subunit ribosomal RNA", at positions 1301 to 1500 of the family's 1533-position model. The record is from RNAcentral.